RNAcentral lists this ribosomal RNA (352 nucleotides) under uncultured bacterium. Its description in RNAcentral is "bacterial SSU rRNA". It matches the Rfam family "Bacterial small subunit ribosomal RNA", at positions 28 to 303 of the family's 1533-position model. The record is from RNAcentral.
GAUGAACGCUGGCGGCGUGCCUAAUACAUGCAAGUCGAGCGGUAAGGCUUUCACAGAUUAUUUAACCAGAUAAGUUCUUCGGAAAAACUGUUUGCAGCGAUGAUUCCCGGCUAGGGAAUCAGAGUUGAAUAAUGCGUGAAAGUACACGAGCGGCGGACGGCUGAGUAACACGUAGGAACGUACCCCAAAGUGAGGGAUAAGCACCGGAAACGGUGUCUAAUACCGCAUGUGAUCUUCGGAUUAAAGCUUCGGCGGCUUUGGGUAACGGGCCUGCGCAUGAUUAGCUUGUUGGUGAGGUAAAAGACUCACCAAGGCGGACAAUACAUUAAGUACUGGUCGUUGAGAGGGUAGG